GGGGAUUUAGCUCAGCGGUAGAGCGCUUGCCUAGUGAGCGUAAGGCCCUGGGUUCGGUCCCCAGCUCCG
Molecule: non-coding RNA, 69 nt
Organism: Rattus norvegicus (Norway rat)
Lineage: Eukaryota; Metazoa; Chordata; Mammalia; Rodentia; Muridae
Source: Rfam